AGUGAACGCUGGCGGUAGGCCUAACACAUGCAAGUCGAACGGCAGCACAGUAAGAGCUUGCUCUUACGGGUGGCGAGUGGCGGACGGGUGAGGAAUACAUCGGAAUCUACUUUUUCGUGGGGGAUAACGUAGGGAAACUUACGCUAAUACCGCAUACGACCUACGGGCGAAAGCAGGGGAUCUUCGGACCUUGCGCGAUUGAAUGAGCCGAUGUCGGAUUAGCUAGUUGGCGGGGUAAAGGCCCACCAAGGCGACGAUCCGUAGCUGGUCUGAGAGGAUGAUCAGCCGCACUGGAACUGAGACACGGUCCAGACUCCUACGGGAGGCAGCAGUGGGGAAUAUUGGACAAUGGGCGCAAGCCUGAUCCAGCCAUACCGCGUGGGUGAAGAAGGCCUUCGGGUUGUAAAGCCCUUUUGUUGGGAAAGAAAAGCAGCAGGUUAAUACCCCGCUGUUCUGACGGUACCCAAAGAAUAAGCACCGGCUAACUUCGUG
RNAcentral lists this ribosomal RNA (492 nucleotides) under uncultured bacterium. Its description in RNAcentral is "partial 16S ribosomal RNA". It matches the Rfam family "Bacterial small subunit ribosomal RNA", at positions 29 to 507 of the family's 1533-position model. The record is from RNAcentral.